GACGAACGCUGGCGGCGUGCUUAACACAUGCAAGUCGAGCGGUAAGGCCCUUUCGGGGGUACACGAGCGGCGAACGGGUGAGUAACACGUGGGUGACCUGCCCUCAGCUCUGGGAUAAGCCUGGGAAACCGGGUCUAAUACUGGAUAUGACUCCAUGACGCAUGUUGUGGGGUGGAAAGCCUUGUGCGGCUGAGGAUGGGCCCGCGGCCUAUCAGCUUGUUGGUGGGGUGANGGCCUACCAAGGCGACGACGGGUAGCCGGCCUGAGAGGGCGACCGGCCACACUGGGACUGAGACACGGCCCAGACUCCUACGGGAGGCAGCAGUGGGGAAUUUUGGACAAUGGGCGCAAGCCUGAUCCAGCAAUGCCGCGUGAGUGAAGAAGGCCUCGGUUGUAAGUAC
RNAcentral lists this ribosomal RNA (401 nucleotides) under uncultured bacterium. Its description in RNAcentral is "bacterial SSU rRNA". It matches the Rfam family "Bacterial small subunit ribosomal RNA", at positions 28 to 431 of the family's 1533-position model. The record is from RNAcentral.